UAACUGGUCUUCCUGUUGACAAGGCAAUCGGAAAGCAUUUGCUCUCACUGGUGGAAGAUUCUUCGACUGACACAGUGAAAAAGAUGUUGAACUCGGCAUUGCAUGGUAUGUCACUCAUUACUCUAUUUGACAUUUUAGGCAUUUUAGAUAUUCAAAUAUUACUAGAAAUAGCCAUAUGCUUGUAUGGCUGUGGACGAUGUUUUCAAUUGUAGUCUUCUGUUUGUAUUAAACUCGUCCUCUUUUUUCUCUUCUGUCAGGCAAAGAGGAACAAAACAUCCAAUUCGAGAUAAAAACACAUGGUUCUAGGGCUGACCUUGGUCCCAUCAGCUUGGUUGUGAAUGCUUGUGCAAGCAGAGACAUUCGGGAAAAUGUUGUGGGGGUGUGUUUUGUGGCACAAGAUAUCACUGGUCAGAAGAAUGUGAUGGACAGAUUCACCCGGAUUGAAGGUGAUUACAAAGCAAUUGUACAAAACCCUAACCCCUUGAUCCCCCCAAUAUUUGGUGCAGAUGAAUUUGGCUGGUGUUCUGAGUGGAAUUCAGCAAUGACGAAGUUAACAGGAUGGAAACGAGAGGAGGUAAUGGAUAAAAUGCUUCUGGGAGAGGUUUUUGGGAUCCACAUGGCAUGUUGUCCUCUCAAAAGCCAGGAAUCUUUUGUAAAUCUUGGUGUUGUCCUUAACCAUGCCAUGACAGGUCAGGUGUCCGAAAAGGUUCCCUUUGGUUUCUGUGCUCGCAAUGGAAAGUACAUAGAAUGCCUGCUGUGUGUGAGUAAGAAAUUGGACAGCGAAGGCUUGGUCACUGGGGUCUUUUGCUUCUUGCAGCUUGCUAGCCCAGAGCUGCAACAAGCACUUCACAUCCAGCGCUUAUCAGAACAAACUGCAGUGAAGAGAUUGAAAGAAUUGUCUUAUAUUAGAAGGCAGAUCCGGAAUCCUUUAGCCGGUAUAAUUUUUUCUUGGAAAAUGAUGGAGGAUACUGAGUUGGGAGAAGAACAACAACUGCUUCUGCAUACGAGCGCCCAGUGCCAGAACCAGCUCAACAAAAUACUGGAUGACUCGGAUCUUGAUACCAUCAUUGACGGGUAUGAUAAAGUCCAGUCGUUAAACACUGAUUUUUUUUCACCUCGCUGUUUAUCUUUCGUCUACAUUUUUUACCUCAUGUGAAGACAGUUCCCUCAUAAAAUUCUUGACUGCCUUCAUCUCUAUCAAGUCCUCAGCUACAAGGAAUGAGAUAAUUAGUUUAGGUUACAUAGAAUGGUAGAUUAAAUGUGAACUUGUUCUUUUCUGUAGAUGCUAUUGAUUUUGUUUAUUUUGACUGGUUGUUAUGUUUCUGUGUUUUUCUGAUCCCUCGACAGCUACUUGGACCUGGAAAUGGUUGAGUUCACAUUGCAUGACGUACUGAAUGCCGCUGUCAGUCAAGUCAUGAUGAAGAUCAAUGCCAAGAGCAUCCGUGUUGUCCAAGAUGCAGCGGAAGAGAUCAUGACUCAGACUUUAUAUGGGGAUAGUCUUAGGCUUCAACAAGUCGUAGCUGAUUUCUUAGCCGUAUCAAUUAGUUUUGUGCCAACUGGAGGCCAGCUUACUAUCGAAGCUAAUUUGACCGAAGAUCAGUUAGGACAAUCCGUUCAUCUCGUGCAUUUGGAGAUCAGGUACAGCUUGGCAAUUGAAUUCAUAACGUUGAUGUCUAAUAGAUAUUGAAUACUUACUAUGGAUUUCAUGUAUAAUUCGGUUGCUUGGAUUACAAGUUAAGCAAUUCGCACGAGAUGCUGAUUUGAUAUUUUGGAUCAGGAUCACACACGCCGGUGGUGGGAUUCCAGAAGCAUUGCUGAACCAGAUGUUUGGAAAUGACGGAGACAUAUCUGAGGAGGGCAUUAGCCUGCUCGUCAGCAGCAAACUGGUGAAGCUCAUGAAUGGAGACGUUCGUUAUCUUAGGGAAGAAGGCAAAUCAACCUUCAUGAUAUCCGUGGAACUCGCGGCUGCAUACAAGGUGAAGCCCUAAGACAAAUUUCAACAGCAAAAGACACAGAUCCUCAAGUGUACAUACAGCCAGCCUAAAGGCGCGAGAGUUGAACGUUGUAUCUUUGACAUGCCUUGUAGUUUCAAAUAACAUCCUUUUUCCGUUGGACCACGGUUUAACCUGUAAAUGCGCAUGUCUGUCUCGUGUUCUUUAAGUGGUCUUUGGCUUGUGACGGAUUUUGCAGAACUUGAGAGCAAUGUGUGAAGAAUAAUUGAAAGAGAAAAUGGUGAAAGAUUUUGCAAUUUCUGCUGAGGAUAAAGUUUGUAAUUGUCCGUAAUUUAAUGUUUUUGGCUUUGUUUUAGCUUAAGUAAUAAAGGGACUUUGGUCACGGCUCAUCUUGGAUUCGAUGUCCGAAGCUGGUAAACAUCACGAUGGUGGCAUAAAAAAACUGAAAUGUUUUUGUGAGUCUUCCAAACCUCUAGAAAAGUGGAUUGUUGAGGUUUUAUCACUAGUUAAUCCCAGUUUUAAAGAAAAUAAAAUAAAAGACAUUGAUCGUUCAAAUGAUUAGAUUGUUUUUAUUGAUCUCAACAAGUGACAAUAUUUAAAUGGUGGAAAAAUUGGGAAAAUCUAGUAUUGAAGGAAACAAAUUUGCUUAAAUCCCAAGCAUGUAGCACUAUAGUCCACUCAUAAAGUAAGAAUUAAUUCCAUUUUAAACUUACAGAAGGCGUAAUCACAUUAGUUGAAAUAAAUGUGCUCUUCAUAUUUAAUCAUUCAUUUUAAAUAGAGUUAUCUAUGGCUUCACUUCUCCUUCGUCUAUUUUCACUCUUAUUUUCUCUUUAUUAAAAUGAAAAACGAGCAAAAAAAAAAAAAGUAUGGAAAAACAAAAAUAUGAGUGUAGAUAUCACCGCCUUCCUAAACCCUAAACCAUCUCUCAACAACCCACCCACUAUUAUAAUCUUUACCUUCACUCACAAUGCCAACAACAAAUAUUACCAGCUUCAGCAACAGUUUCAAUUAUGGAAAGCGAUUUCUGCAAAUCGCGUAAUGUCGAGCACGUGUUGUUGUUAGAGUUCACGUUCUUAAGUGUGAUAAUUUGCUCUGAUUCCUAAAAAAAGUUAAGUUUCCACCAUAAGACCAAUUGAUAAUAUAUAAAAUAACUUAGUUACUUCUAAGCACAUGUUAGGUUUGCCACAAUACGUACCAAAGGCUUCAACAUUCACCUACUCCCUUGCUAUAAAUACUCAUCCUACCAAUCAUUUCCUAUUCAUUCACACAUCCAAACUUUUCUCUUCCUCUUUGGCACUAACCUGCAUUUUCUUUCUAAUUAGCACCACCACCAAUGGCGGCUGUCAUUGCUCUCUCUUGUGGCUUUUGCCACCGUCUUAGGCAGCUCUGCCGCUGAUCCCGACAUGCUUCAGGACAUUUGCGUCCCCGACCUCACCGCCGGUAACUUCCUCUUCUUCUUCAUCAAUUCUUCAUCUAUAUUUCCAGUGUUUCAGUAUUCUAGUGCUAAAAGUGAACACAGGAAUUCAUGUCAAAAGAACAAAAGAAAAAGAAAAACAAAGCUAAAGUUGCCACUUUUCUUUGUCCCCUCAAUUCUUUCAAAUUACAAGUUAACCCUGUUCAUUAGCAACUUUUCAUGUUCUAAUGAUUUUAGGAGAGGAAAAUUAAUGAACAUGACUUGAAAACUUUGAGUAUUAACGAUAAGGACAAAAUAAAGGGUAAAAUGAAUAGUAUCAGAAUUGACUUUUUAGUGUAACAAUGUGAUUUUUUGUUAAAAUAAACAGUACCAGGAUCUUUUCGUUAAAGGAGAGAUUUGGAAUUUUCUUUAUUAUUUUCUGUAACUUGCUGUGUUAAUAUUCUUAGCUUUUCUUUUAUUUAUAAUUCUUUUGCUGGUUAUUCACUUUAUUGUGUUUAUGUCUGGUAAUCAUGUCCCUAAGGUACCGUUAGAUACGCAGACAAAAUGGAAUGGGAUGGAAUGAGACGAAACAUAAAGAGACGGAACGAAGAUUUCAUGCUAUGUUUGGUACGCGCAGGAUGGAAUGGGGCGGUUGUUCCAUUCUACGUUUGUUAAGCACAUGACGAAUGGAAUCAAAAGAUUAAAUAACUAACUUACCCUUAUUUUGUCUGUUAUAUGAUGCAAUGUUUAUGUGAUAUGCUUAUCUAUGAUAUAUUUUUUACUAAAAAUAUGACUUUAACCCUUCAAAUUCAAUUUUUUCCAUAUAAAACCCGACAUAAUUUUUUUACUCAAAAAAACCCAGUGACUAGGAUCCACCUAAGUGAAUUCAUUAAUUACAUAUUACUUUACACAUUUUACAAUUUUUAGAAGCCUAAAAUACCCCUAUUGCAUGUUUGAUGUGCACAAUUAAUCUAAGGAAAAUGAAUGAAAAUGACUUGAAAACUUUGAGUUUUAACGAUAAGGACAAAAUAAAGGAUAAAGUGAAUAGUACCAAUAUUAACUUUUUAGUGUAAAAAUAUGGUUUUUCAUUAAAAUGAACAGUACCGGGAGCUUUUCAUUAAAAUUCCCUUAAUUCUAUGCAGAUUGUAAGGAGAGAGUUAAUGAUUUUGCAAAAAGAAAAAUAAGACAUGAAUGUUAAAAAAUUCAUUGCAUAUUAAUAUCAAAUAUGAGAAUUGUUGGCUUAAUUCUACGUAUAUGGCAUUAUGAGUUCAUAUAUAUAUAUAUAUAUAUAUAUAUAUAUAUAUAUAUAUUUUACAAAAAAAAAACCUAAUAUAUGUAAUAAUACAUAAAAAAAAGUAAUUUACCUACCAUGUACAAAAAUGUUAUUUGAUUCAAAAUGUGUAUAAAUAUAUAUAUAUAUAUAUAUACACACACACACUGUAUGUGUGUGUGUGUGUAUUUAUAUAAUUAGACCAUAUUAAUUUACCUACCUACUAUUUGAAAUGUUCAUUUCCAAUUAUGUAAAAUAUUGUAUACCUACAACAAAAUAUUGCAUAAACUUAGGAAUUGGAUCAUGCUUUUGAUUUUAUCUUUUACCUACAAACAAUCAUAUACGUAUUACUUUAUAUAUUUUUACCAAAAAAUGUCCCUAAUAGGCUAAUAUAUGUAAUAAUACAUGAAAAAUAAUUUACCUACCUUGUAUACAAAAAUAUUAUUUGAUUCAAAAUAUAUAAUCUAGGUUUUCUCAAAAAAAAAAUAAAUAUAUAUAUAUAUAUAUCUAGGUGUAGUGUGUGUGUGUGUGUGUGUACUUUUUUUAAUAAUUAGAACAAAUUAAUUUACCUACCUACAAAUUAAUUUUCAAUAAUUUACCUACAAAAAAUUAUACCCCGUGUAAUAUAAUAUAUUUUUUUCACUAAUACAUGGAGAAUAAUUUUCCCAUAACAAGAAGAAAUAUAAUUUGAUGUAUUAUAUUGAAAAAUAUUAUGUCAUACCUAUAUUUAUACAACAAUAAAACGUGCCUAAUAUAUUCAACAAUACAUGAAAAAUAAUUUACCUACAAGUUAGAGAAGCGUUAUUUGAUUCAAAAUAUAUAAUACGGAUUUAGUAUAAUUUUUUUUAAUAAUUGGAACAAAUUAAUUUACUUCCCAAUUAAUGCAAAAUAUAUAUAUCACAAAAAGGUAAAGUUUUGGUAUGAUAUGGAUACAAAUAAUGCAAUACAACAUUUUAUAUAUUUUAUUUCACUUUUUCUACAACUUUUAAUUUGGAAUAAAUUUAGGGAUUUGGGAAAGUGGCAUGGGUGUAAAUAAAUUGUAUUGGUAGGUCAAUAGUGUUUCAAUGUGGCUACAGAUUUUAAAUUUGGGCUUUUAUUAGACGUUUAAAUGUAGAUGAGUUUUUAUGUAGGAAUCAUGAAUUAUAAGGGCCAAAAUCUAAAGCACCCUAUUUUUUACACUAGCGAAUAUCAAUACUUUUUUGUUGUUUUAUUAAUUCAUUUUAUUAAUUGUUUAUUAUUUACACACUUUUUUAUUCAACUCUGUCUCCCUCCCUUGUCUCUCUACUUUCUCUUCUUCCAUAUGCUUCUUGUUCUUCGCAUGCCCAGAUUGCUCCUAGUAAAAAUCAAACUUGGUAAAUCAAACCAAUACUUUCUCUUCAUUUCAUUUUCUUUCUCUUCAAUUCAAACCCAUAAUUCUCUUCUUUUAAUUUAUUUUUCUUCAAAUCAAACAUAGAAAAAUUCCAAAUUGUUUUUUUUUUCAAUUUACAGAGGCUUCGUCAAAUCUGCAAAUUCAUUUCAAUCAAUUUCUGCAACAUAGUCAUCGUCCUCCAUGUAGCGUUGUCGUCGUCGUCCUUCCUAGGCUUACAAUGACGGCCUGGCUAUGGUUACGACGUCGGAGAAGAAGGUGGAGCGCAGAGGGACUAAAUAGGCGGCGGUGGAGGAGCUUCGACAUCAUCAAUGAAGGCCUUGGCCUCCUCUUUGCGCUUUUUGUCGUCGGCGAAAGAUGCCUGACGAUGCUUGCUAUGUGAGUCCUGGGUGUCGCUGGCGACGCUCUUGUCGUGGGACUAGCAGGGAGGAAGGAGGAGGCGAGAGGAAGCUGGGUUUGCUGGGAUUGGGUUAGCCAUAGUUGGGUUGCUGGGUUUGUGGUGGAGGAGGAGGAGGCUACAAGAAAGAGGGAGGGUAGACGAGAGGGAGGCUAUGGGAAAGAGAAAGAGGGUGGACAAUGGAAUUAAUGAAAAAAAAUAGGGGUAUUGCUGUCCAAAAAAUUAUAAUUUUGUGUUCCAUGGGCUGGAAAAAGUCGCUUCAGGGGGAAGGUGAAACCAAAAAAAUGACUAAAAUUUGUUUCACGGGACAGCACGUCCUAGACAAUUUGGCGCACCAAACGUGAGACGAGUGUGUUCUGUCUCAUCCCACAUACUAAACGGUACCUAAUUGUCCCCAAUAUUUAAACACAUUCAGCCAUUAAACAUAUACUGGAAGUUGAUUAAGUAAACCCAAUUCAUGAUUUCUGGAAAAAAUUAAGAAAGUUCUAUGAUUUGAUUACCCGACUCUCUUAUAGCGAAGAGCCUUAAUGGCUUGGGGUCGCCCUUUGAUUAGCUUAACUUUCUCUCACUUUAUUAUUGUUGAGCCUACUAAUCAUGUUUCUGCAAGGAGGUUGUAGCUCGGUUGGUUUAAGACCAUCCUCACUUGCACCCGAGGUUCCGAGUAAUAAGAACCCUAAUUAGCCCCCCAACAAACAAGCACAUUGAUCCAGUAAUACACUAGAACCUGAUUAAAAAUAAACCCAAUUCAUGAUUCAUGAUUUCAGGAAAUUAAGUAUCAGUUUUAGUACAAUUUCUUGCUUAAUCCAAGUGAAUUGUGGUACAUAACACAGCGGUGAAAGUCAAUGGAUUCGUCUGCAAGGACGCAGCAAAUGCAACAGCAGAGGACUUUUUCUUCACCGGACUAGCCAAACCAGGCCUCACCAACAACACAUUCGGCUCCUUGGUGACUUUAGCCAAUGUCGAAAAAAUCCCCGGCCUCAACACCCUCGGCGUUUCGCUUGCCAGAAUCGACUAUGCCCCCGGCGGAAUUAACCCACCCCACACUCACCCCAGAGCCACAGAAAUUGUAUACGUUCUUGAAGGAGAAUUGGAUGUUGGGUUUAUUACCACAGCAAACAAGCUCAUCAGAAAAACUAUUCAGCAAGGUGAAGUCUUUGUGUUCCCCAAAGGGUUGGUUCACUUCCAAAACAACAAUGGGAAGAGCCCGGCUUCCAUGAUUGCCGCCUUCAACUCUCAGCUGCAGGGCAGAGUGAACAUCGCCCUCACAUUGUUCGCUGCCACGCCGGAGGUGCCGGAGAAUGUGCUGACCAAGACGUUCCAGGUGGGAACCAAGCAGGUUGACAAAAUCAAGUCUAAGCUAGCACCCAAGGCCUAGAGGGCCGCUUUUUCUUUGUGUUUUUAUAAUUUGAUGGACUGGGGUGAUGAUCAUUGUAUUUUCUCUUUGAUUAGUCCAAACUAGCAUUUGAGUCCGCACGAUGCUGCGGGUUGUAAAAUUAUGUUAUAUGUAUGAAAUAUAUUGAAAUCUAUUUACAUCCAUAGCAGAAUUUAAAAGUCAUCCAAAGUGUUUUUGGAGAUCACAAAAUAUAAAUGUUAGUGUAAAUGUAGAAAAUCUUAAAUGCAUUUGGGCACACAUACCCUAGAAUUCUAUAACCAAAAUAAUGUAAAGUAGCUCAACCAUAUUUUUCCAUGUACAUUAUGAACUGCUUAUUAUAAAAAAAAAAAAAAAAAAAAAACUGUAGCAACCUUUAUACAAUAAAUUCGUAACUUUGAUGUCUAAUAGAUAUUGAAUACUUACUAUGGAUUUCAUGUAUAAUUCGGUUGCUUGGAUUACAAGUUAACCAAUCAUCACGAGAUGCUGAUUUGAUAUUUUGGAUCAGGAUCACACACGCUGGUGGUGGGAUUCCAGAAGCAUUGCUGAACCAGAUGUUUGGAAAUGACGGAGACAUAUCCGUGGAACUCGCGGCUGCAUACAAGAUGAAGCCCUAAGACAAAUUUCAACGGCAAACGACACAGAUCCUCAAGUGUACAUACAGCCAGCCUAAAGGCGCGAGAGUUGAACGUUGCAUCUUUGACAUGCCUUGUAGUUUCAAAUAACAUCCUUUUUCCGUUGGACCAUUUGUAUCGGUUUAACCUGUAAAUGCGCAUGUCUGUCCCGUGUUCUUUAAGUGAUCUUUGGCUUGUGACGGAUUUUGCAGAACUUGAGAGCAAUGUGUGAAGAAUAAUUGAAAGAGAAAAUGGUGAAAGAUUUUGCAAUUUCUGCUGAGGAUGAAGUUUGUAAUUGUCCGUAAUUUGAUGUUUUUUGCUUUGUUUUAGCUUAAGUAAUAUAGGGACUUUGGUC
Molecule: long non-coding RNA, 8716 nt
Filed under: Malus domestica (apple)
Lineage: Eukaryota; Viridiplantae; Streptophyta; Magnoliopsida; Rosales; Rosaceae
Description: long non-coding RNA (MDOM_LNC004098)
Source: RNAcentral